Molecule: ribosomal RNA, 317 nt
Filed under: uncultured bacterium
Lineage: Bacteria
Description: bacterial SSU rRNA
Rfam family: Bacterial small subunit ribosomal RNA
Source: RNAcentral
GAUGAACGCUGGCGGCGUGCUUAACACAUGCAAGUCGAACGCACAUAUCUUUCGGGGUGUGUGAGUGGCAGACGGGUGCGUAACACGUAGGUGACCUGCCCUCGAGUGGGGAAUAACCAUUCUAACGAAUGGCUAAUACCGCAUAGGCACAGCACAUCAGGUGUUGUGUAAAGCCUUCGGGCGCUUGGGGAUGGGCCUGCGGCGGAUUAGCUAGUUGGUGGGGUAACGGCCUACCAAGGCGAUGAUCCGUAGGGGGCGUGAGAGCGUGGCCCCCCACACUGGCACUGAGAUACGGGCCAGACUCCUACGGGUGGCAG